Molecule: ribosomal RNA, 253 nt
Filed under: uncultured bacterium
Lineage: Bacteria
Description: partial 16S ribosomal RNA
Rfam family: Bacterial small subunit ribosomal RNA
Source: RNAcentral
UACGUAGGGUCCAAGCGUUAUCCGGAAUCACUGGGCGUAAAGCGUGCGUAGGUGGCGCGUUAAGUGAGAUGUUAAAUCGUGUGGCUCAGCCAUAUCGAUGCAUCUCAUACUGGCGUGCUAGAGGACAGCAGAGGCAAGUGGAAUUUGUAGUGUAGCAGUGAAAUGCGUAGAUAUUACAAGGAACACCAAUGGCGAAGGCAGCUUGCUGGGCUACUCCUGACACUGAGGUACGAAAGCGUGGGGAGCGAACAGG